RNAcentral lists this ribosomal RNA (396 nucleotides) under uncultured bacterium. Its description in RNAcentral is "partial 16S ribosomal RNA". It matches the Rfam family "Bacterial small subunit ribosomal RNA", at positions 523 to 918 of the family's 1533-position model. The record is from RNAcentral.
AUACGUAUGGAGCAAGCGUUAUCCGGAUUUACUGGGUGUAAAGGGAGCGUAGACGGCAUAGCAAGUCUGAAGUGAAAUCCCAUGGCUUAACCAUGGAACUGCUUUGGAAACUGCCAGGCUAGAGUGCAGGAGAGGUAAGCGGAAUUCCUAGUGUAGCGGUGAAAUGCGUAGAUAUUAGGAGGAACACCAGUGGCGAAGGCGGCUUACUGGACUGUAACUGACGUUGAGGCUCGAAAGCGUGGGGAGCAAACAGGAUUAGAUACCCUGGUAGUCCACGCUGUAAACGAUGAUUACUAGGGUUUGGGGACCAAAGGUCCUCGGUGCCGCCGCAAACGCAUUAAGUAAUCCACCUGGGGAGUACGUUCGCAAGAAUGAAACUCAAAUGAAUUGACGGGG